Molecule: ribosomal RNA, 497 nt
Filed under: uncultured bacterium
Lineage: Bacteria
Description: partial 16S ribosomal RNA
Rfam family: Bacterial small subunit ribosomal RNA
Source: RNAcentral
GAUGAACGCUGGCGGCGUGCCUAAUACAUGCAAGUCGAGCGAACGGACGAGAAGCUUGCUUCUCUGAUGUUAGCGGCGGACGGGUGAGUAACACGUGGAUAACCUACCUAUAAGACUGGGAUAACUUCGGGAAACCGUAGCUAAUACCGGAUAAUAUUUUGAACCGCAUGGUUCAAAAGUGAAAGACGGUCUUGCUGUCACUUAUAGAUGGAUCCGCGCUGCAUUAGCUAGUUGGUAAGGUAACGGCUUACCAAGGCAACGAUGCAUAGCCGACCUGAGAGGGUGAUCGGCCACAAGGGAACUGAGACACGGUCCAGACUCCUAAGGGAGGCAGCAGAAGGGAAUCUUCCGCAAUGGGCGAAAGCCUGACGGAGCAACGCCGCGUGAGUGAUGAAGGUCUUCGGAUCGUAAAACUCUGUUAUUAGGGAAGAACAUAUGUGUAAGUAACUGUGCACAUCUUGACGGUACCUAAUCAGAAAGCCACGGCUAACUACGUG